CGGAGGCGACCGCUUUUGGAGUUCGAUUAAGCCAUGCGAGUCGAGAGCUUUCGGAGCUCGGCAUACUGCUCAGUAACACGUGGAUAACCUGCCCUAUUGUCUGGGAUAACCUCGGGAAACUGAGAACAAUGCCGGAUAGCCCACAAUGCCUGGAACGGUUUGUGGGUGAAGAUAGGAUGGGUCUGCGGCGUAUCAGGUCGUAGGGGGUGUAAUGGACCUCCUAGCCAUCGACGCGUACGGGUGUUGGGAGACAUAGCCCGGAGAUGGAUUCUGAGACACGAAUCCAGACCCUAUGGGGUGCAGCAGGCGCGAAAACUUCACACUGCAGGAAACUGUGAUGAGGGAACUCCAAGUGCUAUCACCAUGUGGUAGCUUUUCUUAACUAUUAAUCGGUUUUGGAAUAAGGGCUGGGAAAGACCGGUGCCAGCCGCCGCGGUAAUACCGGCAGCUCAAGUGGUCGUCGCUUUUAUUGGGCCUAAAACGUCCGUAGCCUGUUUGGUAAAUCUGUGGGUAAAUCAACCAGCUUAACUGGUUGAAUUCUGCAGAGACUGCCAGACUAGGGACCGGGAGAGGUGUGGGGUACUCUAGGGGUAGGGGUAAAAUCCUGUCAUCCUUAGAGGACCACCAGUUGCGAAGGCGCCACACUGGAACGGAUCCGACGGUCAGGGACGAAGCCUAGGGGCACGAACCGGAUUAGAUACCCGGGUAGUCCUAGGUGUAAACGCUGUGAACUUGGUGUCGGGGAUCCGUAAUGGGUUCUCGGUGCCGGAGUGAAGAUGUUAAGUUCACUGCCUGGGGAGUACGGUCGCAAGGUUGAAACUUAAAGGAAUUGGCGGGGCAGCAC
This 844-nucleotide ribosomal RNA is filed under the name uncultured euryarchaeote. RNAcentral describes it as "bacterial SSU rRNA". It matches the Rfam family "Archaeal small subunit ribosomal RNA", at positions 18 to 879 of the family's 1478-position model. Lineage: Archaea; Methanobacteriati; Methanobacteriota. The record is from RNAcentral.